This 440-nucleotide ribosomal RNA is filed under the name uncultured bacterium. RNAcentral describes it as "partial 16S ribosomal RNA". It matches the Rfam family "Bacterial small subunit ribosomal RNA", at positions 338 to 795 of the family's 1533-position model. The record is from RNAcentral.
CCUACGGGAGGCAGCAGUGGGGAAUAUUGCACAAUGGGGGAAACCCUGAUGCAGCGACGCCGCGUGAGUGAAGAAGUAAUUCGUUAUGUAAAGCUCUAUCAGCAGGGAAGAAAAUGACGGUACCUGAGUAAGAAGCCCCGGCUAACUACGUGCCAGCAGCCGCGGUAAUACGGAGGGGGCAAGCGUUAGCCGGAUUUACUGGGUGGAAAGGGAGCGUAGGCGGCAGUGCAAGUCUGGAGUGAAAGGCGGGGGCUCAACCCCCGGACUGCUCUGGAAACUGUACGGCUGGAGUGCAGGAGAGGUAAGUGGAAUUCCUAGUGUAGCGGUGAAAUGCGUAGAUAUUAGGAGGAACACCAGUGGCGAAGGCGGCUUACUGGACUGUAACUGACGUUGAGGCUCGAAAGCGUGGGGAGCAAACAGGAUUAGAUACCCGGGUAGUC